AUGAUGAGGAAGCUUGUGGCGGCCAUGCUCUUGGUUCUCGUGGCCACGUCCGGCUCAUCAUGGUACCGGGCGGCGGCGAGGCCGUUGCAAGGUGAUGAGGUGCAAGACGGGGAACCCUCCUCCGGCGGCAUUGCGCUGCCGUCGCCGACGCAUUGGCGUGGACACGUGCUGUCUCAGUUGGAGGAGAAGGGCCCCAACGGGUGCCCGAAGACUCACAAUCAUACCACAACUUGUCCCCCCGUGUAG
Molecule: ribosomal RNA, 246 nt
Filed under: Triticum aestivum (bread wheat)
Lineage: Eukaryota; Viridiplantae; Streptophyta; Magnoliopsida; Poales; Poaceae
Description: partial small subunit ribosomal RNA
Source: RNAcentral